RNAcentral lists this ribosomal RNA (336 nucleotides) under Triticum aestivum (bread wheat). Its description in RNAcentral is "partial small subunit ribosomal RNA". The record is from RNAcentral. Lineage: Eukaryota; Viridiplantae; Streptophyta; Magnoliopsida; Poales; Poaceae.
AUGGUAUGGAUGAGCCUACAAUCAAGAAGAGCACCGUCAGCUCCAUCUAUGCAAACAUCCUCGUGUUUCGUGUUUCAGACAACGAUGACAGCCCAACAAAUUCUUUUUGUACAAUCCCUUGCAAACUCGUUCAUUGUUUUUGCUACAUCUCCUACGAUGGUGGCUACAGAAAAUCAAAUUGUUGAUGCAAGCAGUGGCCCUAGCACACAUGCCAAGAACACUAGGAAGGAAAGGAUGGCUAAAGUUCCGUCCGUAAAAAUACCAAGGCAAAGAAGCAAAAAGUCGAUGAAGCUGCAACUAUGUAUGAGACGUAUCUUAAGCAUGGUAAACCAUUAA